Molecule: microRNA, 20 nt
Filed under: Mus musculus (house mouse)
Lineage: Eukaryota; Metazoa; Chordata; Mammalia; Rodentia; Muridae
Description: mmu-miR-7070-3p
Source: miRBase by way of RNAcentral
CAGGCUCUCCUUCCCUCCAG